This 375-nucleotide long non-coding RNA is filed under the name Calidris pugnax (ruff). RNAcentral describes it as "lncRNA (ENSCPUG00000005354.1)". Lineage: Eukaryota; Metazoa; Chordata; Aves; Charadriiformes; Scolopacidae. The record is from RNAcentral.
AUGAGAGAAGAGCAAGUGCUGGAAGCAGAGAAGAGCCAUGGCACCAUUCUUAAUACAGUCUGCAACUUACUUCAGUGUGUAACUGUCUCAUCAUUUAAAAACGCAACCCCUUCAACUGGUCACCACUUAAGAGGGAUUAUUUGGCUGGAUGGACCUUUGAAUGAUGCAGUGCAGCUACUUGGUAGCAACUUCUACACUAUGGUUCUCGCUGUAAAAUCUGGCUCCAUUCUGCUCUGUGCUGCUGAGGGAUUAUUCACUUCUAGUUGAAGUGUGCUGGAAAGGAUAGAAUUGUUUAAGGACAUAAAUGGAAUUUGAAUUUCUGCAGCAACUUCCCUUUUGGUGUGACUGUUGCCCGAAACUUAGUAAGAUCCAUGC